AUGCGAGGAAGAAGGGGCCGGCCUUCGAGCGACAGCGGCGCAAGAUGGCAGCCACCACGGGUUCGGACAAUUUAUGAAAACCGAAUAUACAGCCUUAAAAUAGAAUGUGGACCUAAAUACCCAGAAGCACCCCCCUUUGUAAGAUUUGUAACAAAAAUUAAUAUGAAUGGAGUUAACAGUUCUAAUGGAGUGGUGGACCCAAGAGCCAUAUCAGUGCUAGCAAAGUGGCAGAAUUCAUAUAGCAUCAAAGUUGUUCUGCAAGAACUGCGGAGCUUAAUGAUGUCUAAAGAAAAUAUGAAACUMCCCCGGCCUCCGGAAGGACAGUGUUACAGCAAUUAA
Molecule: non-coding RNA, 339 nt
Organism: Urocitellus parryii (Arctic ground squirrel)
Lineage: Eukaryota; Metazoa; Chordata; Mammalia; Rodentia; Sciuridae
Source: RefSeq, a predicted model, not a curated record